Molecule: ribosomal RNA, 253 nt
Filed under: uncultured bacterium
Lineage: Bacteria
Description: partial 16S ribosomal RNA
Rfam family: Bacterial small subunit ribosomal RNA
Source: RNAcentral
UACGGAGGGUGCGAGCGUUGUCCGGAAUCACUGGGCGUAAAGGGCGCGUAGGCGGCCUGAUAAGUAGGGGGUGAAAUCCUGCGGCUUAACCGCAGGGCUGCCUUCUAAACUGUCAGGCUAGAGCACAGUAGAGGCAGGUGGAAUUCCCGGUGUAGCGGUGGAAUGCGUAGAGAUCGGGAGGAAGGCCGGUGGCGAAGGCGGCGCUCUGGAACGUUUCUGACACUGAGGCUCGAAAGCGUGGGGAGCAAACAGG